Non-coding RNA from Cyanistes caeruleus (blue tit), 4860 nucleotides. NCBI's taxonomy places the organism in Eukaryota, Metazoa, Chordata, Aves, Passeriformes, Paridae. The record is from RefSeq and is a predicted model, not a curated record.
GCGGUGCGGGAAGCUGUGGGCGGCAGAGGGGCCGUGAGGGCGCCUUGUUGCGGGGGCAGAGGCCCCGGACGGGGAGAAAAGGGGAGCGUGUUCCCCUGGCAGAGCGCAAAGCGAAGCAGCAGGCUGAGCGAAGGAGGUGGUGUUCAUACAUCAUCAGAAUAGCAUCAGAAGCGUCUCCACAGGUGACAGCUUGCCGAAUUUUGAUGCAGUAAGUCUGUAAGUGCGCUUAAGGAUUCUCCAUCGCCCGUGCCAGUUGCCAUUUUGUGGCGCUUUUGUGUAAAGUAUGCCCAACUAGUUUAAAAGUUUAAUGUUUUUCCCACGAAGCAGUUUGAGGUAUUGUGCUAUUUUUCCUUUGAAGAAUGUCCGUGACAGUUACCCAGAAAACACAAACAGGGUAAACAGAGAGUUCUUCCUUUCAUCAAACCGUUCUCAUUUAGUCUCUUCUUUUAGCAUCAUAUUCUUCUGAUCAUCUUCACAAGUUUCUGUACAGAAAGUGCUCAGUCAGUAAAGAUCUCAAUACUAAAGAGUUUGACUGUUUCAACCAAUUUGGAGCCAUAAACCCUAAAAAGCACAAACUGGUGUUCAAAGUUUCAAGUCAGACUGCCACUGUGAUAAAGAUACUCAGCACAACCACUGCUCCUGUGAGUCACUGCUUACCCUAGUUUGUUAUUUAGUGCAAACCCGAAGUUACAGGGAAAUUAAGAUCUGAACUGUGGUAACUUCUCAGUUAUGCUCUAUGAACUGUGGAAGAUCUUUGAGGCCAUAAUAAAGGUUUCACGGCUGUUGUGGAGAAACUGAUGGAAGAAUGGGAGCUCCACCAUUUCUAGUUGCAGCCAUUGUGACAAAUUCCAAAGAUUUUCAAAAGGUUUUGGCAGCACUGCUGUCCUUGGGAUGGCCAAGAUUGCCCAGCACAGCAGCACCUCCUCUCAUCCAGCCUGCAGUCCAGCCAAGAGUGGGUGAUCACAUGUGUCUCAGAGUGGCAGAGGUAGUUGAGUGGCAUCUCAGUAGCUAGUUUUAAGCAGCCUUGUGCAGCUGUAAAGAGAAAUUUAAAAAAUAAGAGGAAGGGGAGCUGAGAAAGACUCUGAAAGACAAAGAGGGUGAGAAGUCAAGAAGGCUAGCAGAUAAAAAAAAAGUCAUGAGUAAGGAAGAAGGUAUUCUCUUGAGAGAAUGUGAGGAAAAGAAGAACAACUUACAGAAUAGAAUGGAAAAGGGAGAGACUGUAGUAUAGGUGCUGCUUCGUCCCUUGGAAUCAUGGAGCAGACAUCUUUAGAUUAUUUGUCCAUAGUCCCUGUUAUUAUCUCCUGGUAUUAUGGUCCCUGUGUCUCCCUUACAUGUGCAUUUCAAGAUUUUUCUGUACUUUGAUAUGAUAAAAUGUAUUUAAUAGUUAACAAAACCUUACGUUUUUUUGUCAGGCAGGUGAUUUUUCUCCUGUGCCACAUUAAACUACUAAAUAUGUGGUUUGAACAUGCAUUAACUUGUGAGUCCAAUGAAGUGCACUCCAAACAGACAUUUGUAUCAUAAAUAGCAUAUAUUAAUUACCCCUUCAUUGCUAGGCUAAGUCUAGGCCAUUGCUUUGAGUGUAGAAGAUGCUUGUUUUUUUUCUGCUGUGGGCUUUCCCUUCUUCAAUGCAGUAGCUUGGUACUUCACUUUUCUUUUUCUUUUUUUAAUUUAGACUUUAGGUUUUUAUUUCCUGCCAUUUUCACAUUACUCUCAGUUGUUUGUUUCAUCUGUCAAGGUAACUCACAUAUUGUUUACCUUUUCUUUGAGCUCAUUAAUGAAGUUAUUAAAAUAAGAAACCACUUCAUACCUUGCAGGAGACCCACUGCCUACUUGUCCACAACUUAGUGCAAUCUGCUGCCAUUUCUCAUCAGCCAGUGUUUGUGAUCCUUCAGCCUGUUUUCAAUUUACAUGACAGUGCUUACGUCCAAAGCAAUUUGGAUUCAUUUUGGGAGAUUUAGUAAGACACUGUAUUGAAUCCUUUAUUAAAAUCAUGCUGUGUAUCUCUCAUCCAGGAUUUUUGCAGUUCUAUCAAAAAAGCAAUCACGUUUCCUUGGCACGACGUGUUCCUUAUGAACCCAUGCUGCUUAUUGCUCAUUGUACCAUUAUCCUUUGAAUGUUUAGAAGAGUAUUUUGGAGUCAUGAGUUUUGUUUCUUUUUUCUGUUUAUUUUCUUUUUCCCCUCAGCAAAUGUUCUUUUCUUUCUCAUUACAGAAUAUGAUUGAAAUUAAACUCCUUGUUUAAUAAAGCACACUUCUUCCCUUUAUUGAUGUUUGAGGCUAUAUUUCCUAUUCCAUAUGACUUUUCACAGAUAGUUUUUGAGGGCUUACUCUUUUCAUUGUGCACUCAGGAAUGCAUUUAACAUGGGCUAAUUGACUGGAUACAACUGAUUUUCUUACUUUUGUGCUAUCCAUAGCAAUUUUUUUCUUGUCCUGAUUUUGGCCAGGAUAGAGUUAAUUUUCUUUCUAGAAGCUGGUGUGGUGCUGUGUUUUGGAUUUAGUAGAAGAACGUUGUUUUAACACUUUGAUGUUUUAAUUGUUGCAUAUUACUGCUUACCCUGAGUCAAGGACCUUUCAGUUGGCUCCUGCUCUGGUGUUGAGGAGCUGCACAGGAAGCUGGGAGGGAGCAUGGCCAGGACAGGUGACCUGAACAUGUUUGGUACCAUAGAACAUCACCCCUGUGUAGAAACUGGGAGAAGUUUCCUGGGAGCUGCUUGAGGAUGGGCUGGGCAUUUGUCAGUGGAUGGUGAGCAGUUGUCUUGUGUAUCACUUGUUUCUCUUGGGUUUUAUUCCUCUCUUGGUUUUAUAUCAUUAUUAUUACUUAUGUAACUAUUAUCAUAUUUUACUUUAUUUUAAUUAGUAAAAUGCUCUUAUCUCAACCCCUAGGCUGCACCUUUUUGUGAUCCACUUUCCCAUCCCACCAGGGAAGGAGGCUUGGGAGAGAGUGAGGAGCUGUGUUGCCAACUGUGGCUAAACCAUGAAACUUGUUUUCAGUCAAACCUGCUUUCAAUGAGAACAAAUAAGAAAUACAUGUGGGAAACGUGAGUUUUGCCUACCUCUCUCCCACCAAAGUAGCCCUACAUUUGAACCAUGUUUGCAUAGAUUUUAUAUAUUUUAACAAUCCCCUUUGGUAUCAUUAACUUGUUCUUGGCUUUAUCCUGAGAGCCAUUGAACACUUUGACAGAGGUCUAUUGUAACUGUAAGAAUAUAUUUCCUUUUCAUUGCCCAAGUCAUCCUGCAGGAAUUUGGAGAUUCCCCAGUUUUGGGAAUAUUCAUAUAUUCAAGUUAAGCACAAGACUAUAUGUUUUUCUGUUGCUCAUACAACAGCUCUUCUACAGUUCAUCUUUUUCCUGAAGAGUAGGCCACUGUAUGUAUUGUCUGCAUAAGUAAUCACAGCACCCUAGGGAGAAGAGUUAUUUAAAACUAUGAUAAAUGUCAUACACGUUCUCCCUUUCAUGACUUAUUUGUUCUCUAUUAAGGUCAGAUCGAAGUUGUAGACAAUUAAUUUUUAUCACACUCUUAUUUGUCAAAUGUCGUAUUUUGGCUUAGGGUUCUCUUCUCUGUUUUGAUUUGCUUUGGGGUUUUUUUCCUAUUUUUUUUUCUUUUUCCUCUCUCCCCCUUCUGUAUUCCAUGAUGAAUUGAUAGCUUCUGAAGGAUGACAGGGAAUAAGAAGAUCAGCUAACUGCAUCUCAGCAGCUGCAUCCACUGUAAAACUGUAUUUCAUCGGGGUGCUGGCAAAAUGUUAGCUUCCUGUAGAGUGAAACACAUGCAUUUCAUGUGGCACACAUGUAUCAUAUAUGAGCCUGGCUGAACUGUGUGUUGCUGUGAGCUAAGGUUUCUGCCACAUCCCCUAUAAAGGUAAGGAGCAGCAGCAGUGAUUUAUGUGAAGAAUUUUCAAAACGUGUUUAGUUAAUAUUUUAAAUAGGAAAGGGCUGAGCUAUUAUGUUUGUAAAGAUCCUUCUGUUUUCAGGCUGAGCCUGUCUGAAAAGCACUCAUCGUUCAGUUCGAGUCACUCACUGGAACAUUGCUUAAAAUGAAGGGCUGCUCUUUCUAACCUCUUGCAAGGAAGGCUUUAGCCAGAGCCAGAAAACAGAGCACAGCCCAAGCUGCCAGCUUGUUAGCGUGAGAUUCCCGCCUCCAUAGAAGUCUUUGGAUUAAUGACUUCAGACAGACAGAUGUGAGACUCAGAGGCCAUGUGUGGGGGAAGGGGUUUCUUGUCAGAAGGCCCUGGAGUGUUCUUGGUGAUGAGAGUAGCUUUAUUCCCUGAAAAAUACAGGGAGUUGACUGAGCAACUCUGAAGGAAGGCUGGACAAAUGGAAGGAAAAAAUAUAAAUAUUGCAGGUAUCUUUGUGCUGGAAAGUAAUGCACAGCAGCUGCUCUGAGUCCAUCCAAGUAAACACCCUCCUUUUUCUGUGUUCAGUGUAGAAAUCUUAAGCUAAGUUCUCCACAUCUGAAUACAGUAAUGUUACCAAUGCGUCGUUGCUGAUGGAAGUGAUCCGAGUUUCCCAUGAGCCAUCAUUGCAGGAAAAACAGAUUUCUGUGGGGUAGAAGAUUUUAUAAGCACCAAAUCUGUCAUAGCAAAUCCAUCAAGGUUAUCCCCUGCACACUAGGUUUCCUGCUAUGCUAUCAAAAAUAAAUUAAAUCAAAUGAAAUCUAAACAUCUUCAUCAAGCCCUUAUAUUAUUAAUGAGGAAAUACCCUAUGGAGCACAACUUACAGUAUGCACAUUGUGCAAUAAAAUAUUUGCAUGUUCUGUGACAUCUGUAGAGUACAAGAGUCUGUAGUCUUGAAUGGUAUUUGGAAUGCAAUUGUGCACAAAGAAGAGGCAAAUAGAAAAUUUACACAUAUUUUUAAUAAUAAAAUGUA